GUGCCAGCAGCCGCGGUAAUACGAAGGGUGCAAGCGUUACUCGGAAUUACUGGGCGUAAAGCGUGCGUAGGUGGUCGUUUAAGUCCGUUGUGAAAGCCCUGGGCUCAACCUGGGAACUGCAGUGGAUACUGGGCGACUAGAGUGUGGUAGAGGGUAGCGGAAUUCCUGGUGUAGCAGUGAAAUGCGUAGAGAUCAGGAGGAACAUCCAUGGCGAAGGCAGCUACCUGGACCAACACUGACACUGAGGCACGAAAGCGUGGGGAGCAAACAGGAUUAGAUACCCUGGUAGUCCACGCCCUAAACGAUGCGAACUGGAUGUUGGGUGCAAUUUGGCACGCAGUAUCGAAGCUAACGCGUUAAGUUCGCCGCCUGGGGAGUACGGUCGCAAGACUGAAACUCAAAGGAAUUGACGGGGGCCCGCACAAGCGGUGGGGUAUGUGGUUUAAUUCGAUGCAACGCGAAGAACCUUACCAGG
This 475-nucleotide ribosomal RNA is filed under the name Stenotrophomonas sp. enrichment culture. RNAcentral's name for it is "bacterial SSU rRNA". It matches the Rfam family "Bacterial small subunit ribosomal RNA", at positions 505 to 978 of the family's 1533-position model. Lineage: Bacteria; Pseudomonadati; Pseudomonadota; Gammaproteobacteria; Lysobacterales; Lysobacteraceae. The record is from RNAcentral.